This 181-nucleotide ribosomal RNA is filed under the name uncultured bacterium. RNAcentral's name for it is "partial 16S ribosomal RNA". It matches the Rfam family "Bacterial small subunit ribosomal RNA", at positions 173 to 353 of the family's 1533-position model. The record is from RNAcentral.
AGCCCACGGGUCGGCAUCGACCAGAGGGAAAAGGAGCAAUCCGCUUUGAGAUGGUCUCGCGUCCGAUUAGCUAGUUGGUGAGGUAAUGGCCCACCAAGGCGACGAUCGGUAGCCGGACUGAGAGGUUGAACGGCCACAUUGGGACUGAGACACGGCCCAGACUCCUACGGGAGGCAGCAUG